AAACUGUGAGGGUCCAUACCAGAUAGAUGAAGUUGUCAAGCUAAGAACAUAUCGACUAAAGCAACUACAUAGAACCCCACUCUUCCAACAUGGAAUUCGAAAAAUCUCUGAGUGUACUAUUAGUAAUGUAUCAUACAACACUAAUAGAACUCUUAUUCUCUAAAAAAAUGGUUUCUUAUCUGUUCGGCACCUCGCAACCCCCAA
This 204-nucleotide long non-coding RNA is filed under the name Elaeis guineensis (African oil palm). RNAcentral's name for it is "long non-coding RNA (EGUI_LNC049682)". Lineage: Eukaryota; Viridiplantae; Streptophyta; Magnoliopsida; Arecales; Arecaceae. The record is from RNAcentral.